This 1419-nucleotide long non-coding RNA is filed under the name Ursus maritimus (polar bear). RNAcentral's name for it is "lncRNA (ENSUMAG00000005974.1)". The record is from RNAcentral. Lineage: Eukaryota; Metazoa; Chordata; Mammalia; Carnivora; Ursidae.
GCAUUUUUGGGGUAUUAUUUUAACGUAGUAUUGGAACGGUUUGCCACUGAGGGAGAUUAUGAAGAGCAAAUUAAGCGUCACAUACACACUGUCCUGUGGACUCAAGGGCGCGUUACGGUAACGGAGUCUCAAUACGCAUUUGCUGAUUUGGAGGCAGAGAAGGGGCGGCAGCUGCUUUGGAGAAGCCUUGUGGCCGCGUGGAGCACACCCUGCUGUCUUCUGCGGUGCUGGGGACGUGGGCGUGGGUGCGUGGGUGGAGGUGGGCGCUGGGACCUCGGCAGAGUGGGGAUGGGGUCGACUGCUGUCAAGAAUCCAAACUUUUGAGGAAGACUCACUUGGGUUCAAUUUCUUACUCCACCUCGAAGUAGCUAUACACAUUGCAGGCAGAUCACUUAAGCUGCCUGAGCCUCAGUUUCCUCAUCUGUAAAAUGGGGGCGGUGAUGCUCACCUGGCAGAGGUGCUGGUGAUCACGGACCCAGCUCUGGAAACCUUAAUCUUGGUUAGUUGCAUCCUCCAAAUACCCACCCUUCCCACCCACGCCCGUCAAGAGUUCACAAUCCUGCCCCCUUCUUUCCUGGGGCUUGAAAGGGGUACAGAAAGGUUGGGGGGCAGGGAGGGACUGUGUGGAGGACAUUGAGGCAGGAAAGCCAAAAGGUGAAUUGUGCAAAGCAUUGGCUCUGCUGGUGGUCAUCAGGCUGGGGUGAACGCUGGCCGCUCUUUCCAGGUAGGGCUCUUCCUCUUCUUAGGAAACUACUCUCAGGAAACCCUUCUCCCUCUUUUAUUUCAGAAAAACACUUGAUGGCUCACCCACCUAGGACUCGUGGCCCCUCUGGGAAGGUGGAAGCCCCCUACCCUUGCAGAGCGGCAAAGAAAGGGCAGGCAAAGGGAAGAGACCCUCAACUCUCACACCCGCAGCAAAAGGAACGGAGACCACGCACUGCUUGGCAGUGUUUUCUAUUGCGUCCACCUAAUUCCUCAAAUCAGAAGCCUGAGAGCCAUCCUCUGAACAGAUGUGAAAGGAAGAGAGCGAUACAAGAGUCUGGAGAGCAAGUUGGUGGCCAACUCCUGGAGAAUUCUGUGCACGGUGCUCAGGCUUUUGUUGUUGAUGGCUGCCUGCCCUUGCUCAUCAGCCAUCUCCUCACGAACGGCCCACAGCUUGACUUGCAUCCCAUCAAGCCACUCUAAAUGUUCCCACCAUAUUCACACAUCCCACCCGCGGGGAGGGGUUUAUAUAGGGUGUGUACCCCUGAGGGUCAAAAUCUUGGCGCCAUCUUAGAAUUCUACCUCCCACGGCCCCCAAGUCUGGACCCUUCUGCCCCUGUUUCAAACUCAGCAUAUUCAAGAACAAAUACUUUCCGAAACUGACUCCAUGUUUCAGCUUCACCAUUUAAGGAAAUGAGGCAAUGGCACAGACUUGAG